Molecule: ribosomal RNA, 298 nt
Filed under: Comarostaphylis arbutoides
Lineage: Eukaryota; Viridiplantae; Streptophyta; Magnoliopsida; Ericales; Ericaceae
Also listed under: 1 other name
Description: partial 28S ribosomal RNA
Rfam family: Eukaryotic large subunit ribosomal RNA
Source: RNAcentral
UGGGCGAGAGACCGAUAGCAAACAAGUACCGCGAGGGAAAGAUGAAAAGGACUUUGAAAAGAGAGUCAAAGAGUGCUUGAAAUUGUCGGGAGGGAAGCGAAUGGGGGCCGGCGAUGCGCCUCGGUCGGAUGUGGAACGGUUAGAGCUGGUCCGCCAAUCGGCUCGGGGUGUGGAUCGGUGCGGAUUGGGACGGAGGCCAAAGCCCAGGAAGUCGUUAAGCCUGCGGAGACGCCUUCGCCCCGAUCGUGGCUGGCAGCGUGCGCCCCUCGGGCGUGCUUCGGCAUCUGCGCGCUCCCGG